This 524-nucleotide ribosomal RNA is filed under the name uncultured bacterium. RNAcentral's name for it is "partial 16S ribosomal RNA". It matches the Rfam family "Bacterial small subunit ribosomal RNA", at positions 28 to 523 of the family's 1533-position model. The record is from RNAcentral.
GACGAACGCUGGCGGCGUGCCUAAUACAUGCAAGUCGAGCGCAGGAAACUGACGGAACUCUUCGGAGGGAAGGCAGCGGAAUGAGCGGCGGACGGGUGAGUAACACGUAAGGAACCUGCCUCAAGGAUUGGGAUAACUCCGAGAAAUCGGAGCUAAUACCGGAUAGUUCAUCGGACCGCAUGGUCCGUUGAUGAAAGGCGCUCCGGCGUCACCUUGAGAUGGCCUUGCGGUGCAUUAGCUAGUUGGUGGGGUAACGGCCCACCAAGGCGACGGUGCAUAGCCGGCCUGGGAGGGUGAUCGGCCACACUGGGACUGAGACACGGCCCAGACUCCUACGGGAGGCAGCAGUAGGGAAUCUUCCACAAUGGACGAAAGUCUGAUGGAGCAACGCCGCGUGAGUGAUGAAGGUUUUCGGAUCGUAAAACUCUGUUGUAAGGGAAGAACACGUACGAGAGGAAAUGCUCGUACCUUGACGGUACCUUACGAGAAAGCCACGGCUAACUACGUGCCAGCCGCCGCAGUAA